RNAcentral lists this ribosomal RNA (497 nucleotides) under uncultured bacterium. RNAcentral describes it as "partial 16S ribosomal RNA". It matches the Rfam family "Bacterial small subunit ribosomal RNA", at positions 28 to 507 of the family's 1533-position model. The record is from RNAcentral.
GAUGAACGCUGGCGGCGUGCUUAAUACAUGCAAGUCGAGCGAACAGACGAUGAUCUUGCUCCUCUGACGUUAGCGACGGACGGGUGAGUAACACGUGGAUAACCUACCUAUAAGGCUUGGACAACUUCGGGAAACCGGAAUACAUACCAGGAAAUAGCUUUAACCGCAUUGUUCAAUAGUUAAAGACGGGUAUGCUGUGACUUAUAGAUGUAUCCGCGUCGCAUUAGCUUGUUGGUAAGGUAACGGCUUACCAAGGCAACGAUGCGUAGCCGAGCUGAGAGGGGGAUCGGCCACACUGGAACUGAGACACGGUCCAGACUCCUACGGGAGGCAGCAGUAGGGAAUCUUGCACAAUGGGCGAAAGCCUGACGGAGCAACGCAGCGUGAGUGAUGAAGGUCUUCGGAUCGUAAAACUCUGUUAUUAGGGAAGAACAAAUGUGUAAGUACCUAUGCACGGCUUGACGGUAACUGAUCAGAAAGCCACGGCUAACUACGUG